Molecule: ribosomal RNA, 253 nt
Filed under: uncultured bacterium
Lineage: Bacteria
Description: partial 16S ribosomal RNA
Rfam family: Bacterial small subunit ribosomal RNA
Source: RNAcentral
UACGUAGGGGGCAAGCGUUGUCCGGAAUCAUUGGGCGUAAAGAGCGCGUAGGCGGUCCGGUAAGUCCGCUCUGAAAGUCCGGGGCUCAACCCCGGGAGGCGGGCGGAUACUGCCGGGCUAGAGUCCGGAAGAGGCGAGUGGAAUUCCUGGUGUAGCGGUGAAAUGCGCAGAUAUCAGGAGGAACACCGAUGGCGAAGGCAGCUCGCUGGGACGUUACUGACGCUGAGACGCGAAAGCGUGGGGAGCAAACAGG